AUCCAGCUGACAAGUCCCAAAUAUGACGAAACGCGGUUCCUGGAU
RNAcentral lists this non-coding RNA (45 nucleotides) under Schistosoma curassoni. The record is from RNAcentral. Lineage: Eukaryota; Metazoa; Platyhelminthes; Trematoda; Strigeidida; Schistosomatidae.